UGUGUGUUUAUCCGGCUGAGGACCGAAGACUCGAGAAUGAACAUACUUUAUCCAAGAAGGUCAUGACUUCAGGUCAAGGAAGGAAAUGGAACCCACCUUUCAAAAUCUGAUGACACUUAAGUAUGGGAUUGCUGUCCUGGGACCUGUUUGUGCUUCCUGUUUCAUUUCCCUAAUUAGAGCUGUUGGAGGCGAGGGGUGAGUAAAGAGAGAGAGUUUAUAUCAUUUUCUCCUCUUUAAACUCACACCCUAGAUUUUUUAUAAGGUUCUUCUGUGGGUUCUGAGCACAAAGGUUUGCACCUGCUCAAAUUCGAUCUGGAAAUCAAGACAGAGGAACAUCUUUCAGAAGUGACGUUUGAAGCUAAGCUGGGUUCCUUCAUUCCCCAACUGUGUAGGGGAUGGUAUCAAAUAACCCAGGCACAAAUACCCUGCCUAGUCUAGCUGUCUGCCCCUCAUGCUUGGAAUUUUCUCAAUCUUUGAGUUUGUAUCUCUUCUUGGCUCUCCCAGCUUAACAGAAAUUCAUUCAAACUCUAUCUCAGACCUGCCUGUCUCUCCCUAACUCUCAAGGGCUGAUUGCCAGGGACUUUCCCCCACUAACCCCACACAUUUUUCAAGCCAAUAGCAUAAUUCUUGACAUACUCCUCCCCCAUAGAAGUAUGUUUAUAAUGACUGUACACAUUUACAUGCAAUGUUUAAAACUUGGAAAAAGAACAUAGCACAGACAUAACCCAUGGUCUCAAAUUUCAAGCCUGGGGGGUGGGGUGAAGCCUUACAAAUCACCCUAGCUCAUGC
Long non-coding RNA from Vombatus ursinus (common wombat), 789 nucleotides. RefSeq lists it as uncharacterized. Lineage: Eukaryota; Metazoa; Chordata; Mammalia; Diprotodontia; Vombatidae. The record is from RefSeq and is a predicted model, not a curated record. The transcript has 3 exons.